Molecule: transfer RNA, 72 nt
Filed under: Camelus bactrianus (Bactrian camel)
Lineage: Eukaryota; Metazoa; Chordata; Mammalia; Artiodactyla; Camelidae
Also listed under: 2 other names
Rfam family: tRNA
About the family: Transfer RNA (tRNA) molecules are approximately 80 nucleotides in length. Their secondary structure includes four short double-helical elements and three loops (D, anti-codon, and T loops).
Source: Rfam by way of RNAcentral
GAGGGUACAGCUCAGUGACAGAGCUCAUGCUUAGCAUGCAUGAGGUCCUGGAUUCAAUCCCUAGUACCUCCA